This 393-nucleotide long non-coding RNA is filed under the name Olea europaea (common olive). RNAcentral's name for it is "long non-coding RNA (OEUR_LNC012412)". Lineage: Eukaryota; Viridiplantae; Streptophyta; Magnoliopsida; Lamiales; Oleaceae. The record is from RNAcentral.
AUUGUUGGAUGAAUUUUGUGAAUAGUGACGCUGAAAUAAGUAUAAUGAUGGUGACAAAGCCGAGGCAAGAGUUGGACUCUUUGUCCUUAAGUCGAAUUUGCCCCGCAACGGUGCCUACGGAUUUCGGCAAUCGACUCCCAAGAUACAACGGCUACACUUGUGUUUGUAGCACUCCAAAACACAAGUACAACGAACCAAUUUAGGCUUAUGUACUCCAAGAAUGAAAUGAAAGAAAAUCAAAAUAAACGAAAUGAUUUUGAUUUUGGAUAGAAGAGAGGAUGAGAAACGUUUUGCAUAUCAAACUGUGAGGAAUAGGACACCCAAAGGGUCCUAUUUAUAGACCAUGAAGGGGUGUGGACGAAAUGGUUGAGACCAAACCAUGCACCAUUUCCA